RNAcentral lists this ribosomal RNA (240 nucleotides) under uncultured bacterium. Its description in RNAcentral is "partial 16S ribosomal RNA". It matches the Rfam family "Bacterial small subunit ribosomal RNA", at positions 118 to 347 of the family's 1533-position model. The record is from RNAcentral.
UGGGUAACCUGCCUCAAAGAGGGGAAUAGCCUCCUGAAAGGGAGAUUAAUACCGCAUAAUAUGUUUAAGUCGCAUGACUUUAACAUCAAAGGAUUUUCUUAGGAAAUUCCACUUUGAGAUGGACCCGCGGCGCAUUAGCUAGUUGGUGAGGUAACGGCUCACCAAGGCAACGAUGCGUAGCCGACCUGAGAGGGUGAUCGGCCACAUUGGAACUGAGACACGGCCCAGACUCUACGGGAG